RNAcentral lists this ribosomal RNA (877 nucleotides) under uncultured archaeon. RNAcentral's name for it is "bacterial SSU rRNA". It matches the Rfam family "Archaeal small subunit ribosomal RNA", at positions 1 to 889 of the family's 1478-position model. The record is from RNAcentral.
UCCGGUUGAUCCUGCCGGACCUGACUGCUAUCGGAUUGAUACUAAGCCAUGCGAGUCAUUGUAGCAAUACAAGGCAGACGGCUCAGUAACGCGUAGUCAAUCUACCCUAUGGACGGGGAUAACCUCGGGAAACUGAGAAUAAUACCCGACAGAACAUUAUGCCUGGAAUGGUUUAUGUUUUAAAUGAUUUAUCGCCGUAGGAUGGGACUGCGGCCUAUCAGUUUGUUGGUGAGGUAAUGGCCCACCAAGACUAUUACAGGUACGGGCUCUGAGAGGAGUGGCCCGGAGAUGGGUACUGAGACACGGACCCAGGCCUUAUGGGGCGCAGCAGGCGAGAAAACUUUGCAAUGUGCGAAAGCACGACAAGGUUAAUCCGAGUGGUUUCCGCUAAAGAAACCUUUUGUUAGUCCUAGAAACACUGACGAAUAAGGGGUGGGCAAGUUCUGGUGUCAGCCGCCGCGGUAAAACCAGCACCUCAAGUGGUCAGGAUGAUUAUUGGGCCUAAAGCAUCCGUAGCUUGCUUUGUAAGUUCUCGGUUAAAUCCAUGCGCUUAACGUAUGGGCUGCCGGUAAUACUGCAAAGCUAGGGAGUGGGAGAGGUAGACGGUACUCGGGAGGAAGGGGUAAAAUCCUUUGAUCUAUUGAUGACCACCUGUGGCGAAGGCGGUCUACCAGAACACGUCCGACGGUGAGGGAUGAAAGCUGGGGGAGCAAACCGGAUUAGAUACCCGGGUAGUCCCAGCUGUAAACUAUGCAAACUCAGUGAUGCAUUGGCUUGUGGCCAAUGCAGUGCUGCAGGGAAGCCGUUAAGUUUGCCGCCUGGGAAGUACGUACGCAAGUAUGAAACUUAAAGGAAUUGGCGGGAAGGGCGAAUUCGU